ACAUAUGAACCCAGAGAGGACAUGGCAGCAUGCAUAUGCCCUUAACAGGUUCAAGCCAGAUGGGCUCACAGCACUGAGAUGGAGAACUGAACACAGGGGCCCACCCAGAGCCAAGAAACUAUUUGCAAUUGAUACCCACUGCCAAAGGGAAAAUCAGUUUUCUCUAAAGGAGUGUCAACCACACUCCAGGACAGACUCCAUUCCCAGGAGUUCACACAAAAUGGACUCCAAAGAUCAUAACCUUGGUUCAGCCCCAUAAGAAGACCGCAGACAGUGUGGAGCACCCCAAGUUCAGAGGAACAUUGACACCUUGGAAGCCGUCCAGAAGGGAACCGCAAAGCUGAGUUACAGGCUGUGAAGACUGGAGCAGUGGAGAGAGAUUUUCCACGAGGAUGCUCAGAUGAAGAGUGGCGACCCCGAGGUACGGAUGGCUCUACAGAACACAAAAAUCCAUGAGGCCUGGAGGAGCAACAGCUGCUGCGGAGGUCACUGCAGACCUCCUUUACUGUGACCUCUCCUUCCCCCAGUUCCUUCACAGCCAGUUGGAACAAGGGCAACAUGGGCCAGACCAUUGGAUCUAAAUUUGAAAGUCAAAUGAAAAUAGAGGCCAGUUUUUCCCAAAGCAGGUAAUGUUAGUGUUUAUUGUUCAGAAGCCAUCUGAAGAGAUCUGUGGAUUCUAAAAGGGGGAAGAAAUGAAGGCAAUGUCUGGGAGACAGCAGCUUUUCAUGUACUGCUCAGAAGUAUCCCAUGACCCAGAAGAACCACAUAAGCAUCAUCUGCUGCCCACAGAGUAAUGACC
Molecule: long non-coding RNA, 799 nt
Filed under: Cricetulus griseus (Chinese hamster)
Lineage: Eukaryota; Metazoa; Chordata; Mammalia; Rodentia; Cricetidae
Description: lncRNA (ENSCGRG00015036904.1)
Source: RNAcentral